GUUUCUAUGGUCUAGUGGUUAUGAUUUCUGUCUUACACACAGAAGGUCUCCAGUUCGAACCUGGAUGGAAACA
Molecule: transfer RNA, 73 nt
Filed under: Ephemerocybe angulata
Lineage: Eukaryota; Fungi; Basidiomycota; Agaricomycetes; Agaricales; Psathyrellaceae
Description: Coprinellus angulatus tRNA-Val
Rfam family: tRNA
About the family: Transfer RNA (tRNA) molecules are approximately 80 nucleotides in length. Their secondary structure includes four short double-helical elements and three loops (D, anti-codon, and T loops). Further hydrogen bonds mediate the characteristic L-shaped molecular structure. tRNAs have two regions of fundamental functional importance: the anti-codon, which is responsible for specific mRNA codon recognition, and the 3' end, to which the tRNAs corresponding amino acid is attached (by aminoacyl-tRNA synthetases). tRNAs cope with the degeneracy of the genetic code in two manners: having more than one tRNA (with a specific anti-codon) for a particular amino acid; and 'wobble' base-pairing, i.e. permitting non-standard base-pairing at the 3rd anti-codon position.
Source: RNAcentral